CGGGAAACUGGGGAUAAUUCCGGAUAGAUCAUAGAUGCUGGAAUGCACUGUGAUCCAAAGCUUUUGUGCCUAAGGAUGAGUCUGCGGUCUAUCAGGUUGUAGUGGGUGUAACGUACCUACUAGCCUACGACGGAUACGGGUUGUGGGAGCAAGAGCCCGGAGAUGGAUUCUGAGACAUGAAUCCAGGCCCUACGGGGCGCAGCAGGCGCGAAAACUUUACAAUGCGGGAAACCGUGAUAAGGGAACCCCGAGUGCCCGUAGAAUCGGGCUGUUGAUCUGUGUAAAAAGCAGGUAAAGAAAGGGCCGGGCAAGACCGGUGCCAGCCGCCGCGGUAACA
This 337-nucleotide ribosomal RNA is filed under the name uncultured archaeon. RNAcentral's name for it is "partial 16S ribosomal RNA". It matches the Rfam family "Archaeal small subunit ribosomal RNA", at positions 133 to 475 of the family's 1478-position model. The record is from RNAcentral.